RNAcentral lists this small nuclear RNA (102 nucleotides) under Minutocellus polymorphus. Its description in RNAcentral is "partial Dictyostelium signal recognition particle". The record is from RNAcentral. Lineage: Eukaryota; Bacillariophyta; Thalassiosirophyceae; Cymatosirales; Cymatosiraceae.
CGAUUCCUCAAGAAGAUCUCCGGCAACAACGGCGGCAACAAGACAAAUCCGAAGCUUUGGGUGGUCGUUGACAACGCCAAAGCCAAGGCGAAAGCUGGUCAG